RNAcentral lists this ribosomal RNA (433 nucleotides) under uncultured bacterium. RNAcentral's name for it is "partial 16S ribosomal RNA". It matches the Rfam family "Bacterial small subunit ribosomal RNA", at positions 29 to 507 of the family's 1533-position model. The record is from RNAcentral.
AACGAACGCUGGCGGCAUGCCUAACACAUGCAAGUCGAACGAGACCUUCGGGUCUAGUGGCGCACGGGUGCGUAACGCGUGGGAACCUGCCCUUAGGUUCGGAAUAACUCCCCGAAAGGGGUGCUAAUACCGGAUAAUGUCUUCGGACCAAAGAUUUAUCGCCUUGGGAUGGGCCCGCGUUGGAUUAGCUAGUUGGUAGGGUAAAAGCCUACCAAGGCGACGAUCCAUAGCUGGUCUGAGAGGAUGAUCAGCCACACUGGGACUGAGACACGGCCCAGACUCCUACGGAGGGCAGGAGUGGGGAAUAUUGGACGAUGGGCGAAAGCCUGAUCCAGCAGUGCCGCGUGAGUGAUGAAGGCGUUAGGGAUGUAAAGCUCUUUUACCCGGGAUGAUAGUGACGGUACCGGGAGAAUAAGCUCCGGCUAACUCCGUG